UGAGCUAAUUGGUCAGUGAUGUCUUCGGUAAAUAUGAAGCUAAUAAUAAACUGAGUUUACAAAAAGCUCCUGCCGUCUUGUAAAACCUCAGUCUCGUAGAUGUUCAGACUAGGUCGAAAAGCUCAACCACACACACAGACAGCGGAGAAGCUGAAAACAAGAACCAGACGGAAAUAUGUUCAUCCUUCAUAGAAUGGCUUCCUCUGUUCCCUCCAUCGUCCCUUUCUCGCUUAUACUCCCAAAACCACCACCGCCACUACCGCCACUUCUUCCCUUCGUUCACCGCCGCUUCCACUUGCCGUCGGAGUUCUUCUCAGUCAAAAGAAAUGGCGGCGCCCGUUUCCUUUCUACCGUCUCCGUUGCCACCGAGUCUGCAGUUGUUGCUUCCAGUGAGGAAGAAGAGGGGAUACAGAAGGGGGAAGUGACUGAAAGAGUUGUGCUUCCCACUAACGACUCUUC
Molecule: long non-coding RNA, 459 nt
Filed under: Linum usitatissimum (flax)
Lineage: Eukaryota; Viridiplantae; Streptophyta; Magnoliopsida; Malpighiales; Linaceae
Description: long non-coding RNA (LUSI_LNC001633)
Source: RNAcentral